AACGAAGGCUACCAUGAGACUAUCCACGUACGCGUCAGACCUUGCUCACCCUACGAUGAGUGCAACAUGCAACUGACCUGUCCGGAACGCAUCAAGGUCAAAACGGCCGGCCGUCAAGCUUCGGCAUUCAAGCAAUCCGAAUUGUACGCAUGCCACAAAGCGUCCGUAUCAGCUAAAUACCGAGUCACUGAGAGAACUCCGACAAUAAACGACGAGUUAGCAUUCGAUCAAAAAAGAAAAAUCUCUGGCCAGUAAAAAUGCACAACCAAACGCGCCAAGUACGCGUUGAAAGCACGUUGAAAGCAGGUGGCGAUGUGACGAAAUGCGCCAAUAAUGACGUCACAUCCUAAAGAGAGGCUGACUUCCUGUACGUAAGUAAUGGUUGCCGUCUAGUGAGCGCUGGAGCGGAACGGCGGAACUCCGCUGAAAAUGUGAUAUUUUCGGAGUUAGGUUUAAAGUGCUGUGGAUUGUUCGAAGUGGAAGACAGCGCGGACAGCAACUAUCGGUCAUGAUCAAAGACAGGAUAUCAGCGCUGAAAGCGGCCCAGGCAGACGAAGAUGACUUGGACGGAGAUGUGGCUGUCACGCUGGAGACUCCUCCCACAUUUAUGGAGGAGUUCUUUGCAGAGGUGGAAGAGGUUGGGCAGAACAUUGAAAAGAUAGAAAAGAUAGUGCUUGAAAUGAAGAGGAAGCAUAGUGCAAUACUGUCGUCGCCACUCCAGGACGAAAAAAUGAAACAGGACUUGGAGGAACUGAUGGCAGAUGUUAAGAGAAUUGCGAAUAAAGUGAGAAUGAAGCUGAAAAUGAUGCAACAAAAUAUUGACCAAGAGGACCAAUUAAUCGGGAACAGAUCGGCUGAGCUCAGGAUACGAAAAACACAGCAUUCGACACUUUCUCGCAAGUUUGUCGAAGUCAUGACAGAGUACAACAAGAUCCAAAAUGACUACCGUGAGCGGUGUAAGGACCGCAUCAGGCGACAGCUGGAGAUCACGGGGAAAAUGACAACAGACGAAGAAAUUGAAGAGAUGCUGGAAAGUGGAAAUCCAGCCAUAUUCACUCAGGGAAUUGUGAUGGAGACACAGAAGGCCAGGCAGACACUGGCCGAAAUCGAAGCCCGCCACCACGACAUCAUCAAGCUGGAGAAGAGCAUCCGGGAGCUUCACGACAUGUUUAUGGACAUGGCCAUGCUGGUGGAAAGCCAGGGAGAAAUGGUGGAUCGCAUUGAGUACCACGUGAAGAAUGCUGCAGCCUAUGUUGACACUGCCACUCAGGAGACACGACGAGCUGUUCGUUAUCAGAGCAAGGCACGCAAGAUGGUUCAAGUUGAACUUUUGAUACGUUCUUGCUGUAAUGAAACAAACGAGUGCUUAUCCUGAUAUGCAUUGCCAUCUCUGCUGUGCUGCUGGUCAUCAUCAUUGGCAGCUGGGUUGGUUUGUCUUAGCCAUGUUCUGUACGUGCAAGAAGGCGUUAAAUAGGGGUCAGAUGCCAAGUGUAGAUGUCGCACAUUCUCAAAGUUGAGCUGCAAGUUUUUCCAUUCUUACAGCAAGCUAUGUUGUCAUGUGAUCAGCUGAAGGAUCCAUGGCCAAGUGCACCUUGAUGUCUUCGCGUAGUUCCUUUCGUCGGGAAUAAGUCAUGGACCAAAGGAGAGAAAAAGGCCGAGUGUUGUUGACUUGCCAAGUACCACUGUUGUCUUCUCUUAAACCUUUGAAUGUUGUGCACAUCAAUCGCUCCUAGAGGGAUUGAAAAGAGCUUACCUAUGCUAAGUGUGUAUAUAUUAUACAUAUAAAUAUAUGUUACAGGUUCGUAUGUGUACAAAGAUGUUUGUACUGUAUAGCUGUAGUGAAAAGGGAAUAAAAAGAUUUUGCAUAAUACGAGAA
RNAcentral lists this unclassified non-coding RNA (1876 nucleotides) under Dermacentor andersoni. Its description in RNAcentral is "syntaxin-like". The record is from RNAcentral. Lineage: Eukaryota; Metazoa; Arthropoda; Arachnida; Ixodida; Ixodidae.